This 127-nucleotide microRNA precursor is filed under the name Myotis brandtii (Brandt's bat). Its description in RNAcentral is "mir-9193 microRNA precursor family". It matches the Rfam family "mir-9193 microRNA precursor family". The record is from Rfam by way of RNAcentral. Lineage: Eukaryota; Metazoa; Chordata; Mammalia; Chiroptera; Vespertilionidae.
CAUGCACCAGUGGGGUCCCUCGGCCUGGCCUGCGCCCUCUCACAAUCCAGGACCCCUCAGGGGAUGUCGGACUGCUGGUUUCAGCCCGAUCCCCGCAGGCCAGGCUGAGGGACCCCACUGGUGCAUG